UACGUAGGGGGCUAGCGUUGUCCGGAUUUAUUGGGCGUAAAGAGCGCGUAGGCGGCCGAGUAAGUCCGACGUGAAAUCUGGAGGCUCAACCUCCAGCGGUCGUUGGAAACUACUCGGCUAGAGUCCGGAAGAGGAGAGUGGAAUUCCUGGUGUAGCGGUGAAAUGCGCAGAUAUCAGGAAGAACACCGAUGGCGAAAGCAGCUCUCUGGGACGGUACUGACGCUGAGGCGCGAAAACGUGGGGAGCGAACAGG
RNAcentral lists this ribosomal RNA (253 nucleotides) under uncultured bacterium. Its description in RNAcentral is "partial 16S ribosomal RNA". It matches the Rfam family "Bacterial small subunit ribosomal RNA", at positions 524 to 776 of the family's 1533-position model. The record is from RNAcentral.